RNAcentral lists this ribosomal RNA (940 nucleotides) under Cortinarius vitreopileatus. Its description in RNAcentral is "eukaryotic LSU rRNA". It matches the Rfam family "Eukaryotic large subunit ribosomal RNA", at positions 34 to 955 of the family's 3401-position model. Lineage: Eukaryota; Fungi; Basidiomycota; Agaricomycetes; Agaricales; Cortinariaceae. The record is from RNAcentral.
UUAAGCAUAUCAAUAAGCGGAGGAAAAGAAACUAACAAGGAUUCCCCUAGUAACUGCGAGUGAAGCGGGAAAAGCUCAAAUUUAAAAUCUGUCAGUCUUUGGCUGUCCGAGUUGUAAUCUAGAGAAGCGUUAUCCGCGCUGGACCGUGUACAAGUCUCCUGGAAUGGAGCGUCAUAGAGGGUGAGAAUCCCGUCUUUGACACGGACUGCCAGUGCUUUGUGAUGCGCUCUCAAAGAGUCGAGUUGUUUGGGAAUGCAGCUCAAAAUGGGUGGUAAAUUCCAUCUAAAGCUAAAUAUUGGCGAGAGACCGAUAGCGAACAAGUACCGUGAGGGAAAGAUGAAAAGAACUUUGGAAAGAGAGUUAAACAGUACGUGAAAUUGCUGAAAGGGAAACGCUUGAAGUCAGUCGCGUUGUCCAGGGAUCAACCUUGCUUCUGCUUGGUGUACUUUCUGGUUGACGGGUCAGCAUCAAUUUUGACCAUUGGAAAAAGAUUAAGGGAAUGUGGCAUCCUUGGAUGUGUUAUAGCCUUUGGUUGCAUACAAUGGUUGGGAUUGAGGAACUCAGCACGCCGCAAGGCCGGGUUUUUUACAAAGCCACGUACGUGCUUAGGAUGCUGGCAUAAUGGCUUUAAUCGACCCGUCUUGAAACACGGACCAAGGAGUCUAACAUGCCUGCGAGUGUUUGGGUGGAAAACCCGAGCGCGUAAUGAAAGUGAAAGUUGAGAUCCUUGUCAUGGGGAGCAUCGACGCCCGGACCAGACCUUUUGUGACGGUUCCGCGGUAGAGCAUGUAUGUUGGGACCCGAAAGAUGGUGAACUAUGCCUGAAUAGGGUGAAGCCAGAGGAAACUCUGGUGGAGGCUCGUAGCGAUUCUGACGUGCAAAUCGAUCGUCAAAUUUGGGUAUAGGGGCGAAAGACUAAUCGAACCAUCUAGUAGCUGGU